UAUAUACCCAUUCAUGCAUAGUAGGGUAGCUACAUGUGGAACUUGGUUUGACUUCAUUUGUAUGCUUCUAACGUAGUUGAACAUAGAGAAUGAUAGAACCAAAACGGACAUGUGUGAUUGGACCCUCGAGAUGUGUGAAUGUAAGAAUGGACUUGGACAUUAGAAAACAAGGGUGUCAUUGACAUAGAAACAAGAAUUGCAUUGAGAGAUGACCGUUGAAAAUAGUUUGACCCAUAGUGACAUGGUCGAAGAUAAGGCCUUGAAAGUGGCAAAAAUAAAUAGGUAGAGACCUAUCGUGAUAUUGGCAUUGUGACUAGUGGCUAUGAAUCCUCAAGUUGAGGAUUAGAUCGACACUCACCUUUCGUCUUGGCUUGAGGGAGGUCGCUCCCCCUCGAGCGGUGCGCUCCGGAGUUGGUCACCACUGGGCGUGGUAAAGUCCCACCAGUUGACGGUCCCUAGGGAGGUUCGAGUCCCCCGUUAUUAAGGGAUUUUGGGUUGUGAGUCAUUGGGGUUAACAGAGUUAACCGGCAAGAUUGGGUAAGAGCCAAAGUUUGAUCAUGAUUGGAGCAUGCAUGCAUUUCCAUUUUUGUAUUGCAAUUGUUUAUCUACUGACUCUUUCUUGCAGGCAUAGUAUUAGUUGCAUUAGUAAUGGUUACUUUUCUUCCUUUGAAAUACUUAUGCCUGGAUAGACCUAGUGGGUAAGUCGGCGAGGUCGGAUGCCGAGCCCACUGGGAACUUCGUUGUAGUUCUCACACCACUAACCCUACAGGUCCUAGCACGAGCGGGGCGGCGGAGGACCGAGGCAAGGGUUUGGCGCCGUAGGUAGCGGCCACCGGGGACUUUAUGCAUUUUGUAGUCAUUCCCUUUUUGUUAUACAUGUAUCAACUUUAUUUUGUUGAUUUAGGUAUGUAAAGUGAAAACAAUAAUGUAAUUUGGUAGAUGACUAAAUGUAAAAAGAUAUGAUGGUUGAAUGGAAUAUAAUAGUAUUAUUUACUUGAAUUUGGUUCAAAAGAGAUCAAAUAUCAUGUGUGUUGUAUAUUUAGCUUAGAGCUUUCGCUUCCGUUGUUGCUUGCCCUCGAGUAAGCCUUGUAUUAUAUAAGCAAUUCUCUUGUUAAUUGCUUAAUUAUAUG
RNAcentral lists this long non-coding RNA (1130 nucleotides) under Ananas comosus (pineapple). RNAcentral describes it as "long non-coding RNA (ACOM_LNC005784)". Lineage: Eukaryota; Viridiplantae; Streptophyta; Magnoliopsida; Poales; Bromeliaceae. The record is from RNAcentral.